GCCCCCGUGGCUCGAACAGACUAGGCACCGCACUUCUAAUGCGGCUUAUGUAGGUGCAACUCCUACCGGGGGUA
Molecule: transfer RNA, 74 nt
Filed under: Gemmatimonadales bacterium
Lineage: Bacteria; Pseudomonadati; Gemmatimonadota; Gemmatimonadia; Gemmatimonadales
Description: tRNA-Arg
Rfam family: tRNA
About the family: Transfer RNA (tRNA) molecules are approximately 80 nucleotides in length.
Source: RNAcentral